AUUGAACGCUGGCGGCAGGCCUAACACAUGCAAGUCGAGCGCGCGGCGGACGUGUGAGUGAUGUCUGGGAAACUGCCUGGUGGAGGGGGAUUACUACUGGAAACGGUAGCUAAUAACGCAUACCAUCAGAUGUGCCCAGUUGGGAUUAGCUAGUAGGUGGGGUAACGGCUCACCUAGGCGACGAUCCCUAGCUGGGCUGAGAGGAUGACCAGCAACAUUGGAACUGAGACACGGUCCAGACUCCUACGGGAGGCAGCAGUAGGGAAUAUGGCACAAUGGGCGAAAGCCUGUUGGAGCCAUGCCGCGUGUGUGAAGAAGGCCUUCGGGUUGUAAAGUACUUUCAUCGGGGAGGCGUUACCCGCAGAAGAAGCACCGGCUAACUCCGUGCCAGCCGCCGCGGUAAUAC
This 406-nucleotide ribosomal RNA is filed under the name uncultured bacterium. RNAcentral's name for it is "partial 16S ribosomal RNA". It matches the Rfam family "Bacterial small subunit ribosomal RNA", at positions 30 to 526 of the family's 1533-position model. The record is from RNAcentral.